Molecule: non-coding RNA, 27 nt
Filed under: Rattus norvegicus (Norway rat)
Lineage: Eukaryota; Metazoa; Chordata; Mammalia; Rodentia; Muridae
Source: RNAcentral
UGUAGCAUAAAUUAACAUCUCGGUAUC